CCUCCAUGUCCUCCAAGCUGCCUAUUUACCAAGUAAGAACGUAAAUAUGUUAGUAUUUCCAAACUAAAUGGAAUUGUAUCUCACUUUAACAUGCUAUGUGGCUUGCAUUCAAUGUUUGAUGAAGUUGUAUUUUGUCCUCCUUCUCCCGUGUAUUUCAGACUUUACAGAAGCGGUAUCUCAAUGACUGUGGGCAAUACAGAAAUCUAGAGCUGGACUGAUUGAUGCCUGCUUUGAAUAUAAUGGUGCUUUGUAACAUGGGAAAGGAGCUUUGAAUGUGGUAUCCAUAUCAGACAAGAACUCCACCUCCUGGAGAGACUGACAUGAGUGGCUGUGGAGUGGGUUUCAACAGUUAAACUACCAAACAAAGAAAUGAUUAUGGGCUACAUGCAACUUCACAAGCAUGAUUUGCAGGACAAAGGUGUAAAAGAUGAGGAUAAUGUAGUAAUAGAGCAUAUGGACAACGAGAAUCAAACCCAUUCAUUAUCAUGCAAGCACUAAAACGUAAGGUCAAAAGAGGUGUAAGGAAGAGACUAUCAGGGUGUGAAAGGUAGAUCACACAACACAGGAAGUUGUGAACUGGCCAUGAAAAGACCAAUACUCAGUUUGUAGGAUUAGUGAAGAAUGUGGAUUAGUGUUUCUAAACAAUCUUUUAUGUAAGUGACCAGAUAUCAAUUCGUAGCACUUGGAGUAACUGUGAUUCAGGUGACCUAAUUCUAGGUCAGCACAAAACUGAGAUUUUUUUUUUUCCUGGUAAAUCCACCCAUAAGUUAUCUAAAAGCUUUAAGUAUUUAAGUAUUUCCUUUGACUUAAAAUAAAAUCUUGGUUUUCUUUUCUUUCUGCA
This 841-nucleotide long non-coding RNA is filed under the name Anser cygnoides (Swan goose). Its description in RNAcentral is "lncRNA (ENSACDG00005004920.1)". The record is from RNAcentral. Lineage: Eukaryota; Metazoa; Chordata; Aves; Anseriformes; Anatidae.